GGCGACCUCACUCUCGUCGGCGAUGUGAGCCACCGCAAGUCGCCUGACCUCAGCAAACGUUGCAGGGUGAGCCCUGAUCAAGGCCUCGCAGAAUGGUCCUGGCAGCACGCCCUUCUUGAAUGCAUAGACCAGCAUUUCUUCAUCCUUGGCCGGCGAUCUGACCAUCUGCGCUCCAAAGCGAUUCAGGUAGUCUCUGAGGGACUCUCC
This 207-nucleotide long non-coding RNA is filed under the name Phaseolus vulgaris (common bean). RNAcentral's name for it is "long non-coding RNA (PVUL_LNC003458)". The record is from RNAcentral. Lineage: Eukaryota; Viridiplantae; Streptophyta; Magnoliopsida; Fabales; Fabaceae.